CGGAGGGUGCAAGCGUUAUCCGGAUUCACUGGGUUUAAAGGGAGCGUAGGCGGAUUGGUAAGUCAGUGGUGAAAGCCCCGAGCUCAACUUGGGAAUUGCCAUUGAUACUGCUGGUCUUGAGUACGGUUGAAGUGGGCGGAAUGUGACAUGUAGCGGUGAAAUGCUUAGAUAUGUCACAGAACACCGAUUGCGUAGGCAGCUCACUAAGCCGUAACUGACGCUGAGGCUCGAAAGCGUGGGGAUCAAACAGGAUUAGAUACCCUGGUAGUCCACGCCCUAAACGUUGAUCACUCGACAUUGGCGAUAAACUGUCAGUGUCCAAGCAAAAGCGUUAAGUGAUCCACCUGGGGAGUACGCUCGCAAGAGUG
Molecule: ribosomal RNA, 368 nt
Filed under: uncultured organism
Description: bacterial SSU rRNA
Rfam family: Bacterial small subunit ribosomal RNA
Source: RNAcentral